Molecule: ribosomal RNA, 221 nt
Filed under: uncultured prokaryote
Description: partial 16S ribosomal RNA
Rfam family: Bacterial small subunit ribosomal RNA
Source: RNAcentral
UACGUAGGGGGCGAGCGUUGUCCGGAGUUACUGGGCGUAAAGGGCACGCAGGCGGUCUUUUCAGUUCGGAGUGACAGUCGUCGGCUUACCUGACGAAGGCCUCGGAAGACGGGAAGACUUGAGGGCUCACGAGGGACACGGAAUUCCGGGUGGAGUGGUGAAAUGCGUAGAUAUCCGGAGGAACACCAAAGGCGAAGGCAGUGUCCUGGGGAGUUACUGAC